GAGUUUGAUUAUGGCUCAGGAUGAACGCUAGCGGUAGGCCUAACACAUGCAAGUCGAACGGUAACAGAAAGAGCUUGCUCUUUGCUGACGAGUGGCGAACGGGUGCGUAACACGUAUGCAACUUACCCUUUACUGGGGAAUAGCCCAGAGAAAUCUGGAUUAAUACCCCAUAUUAUCAUGGAUUCGCAUGUUUCUAUGAUGAAAGCUUUUGCGGUAAAGGAUAGGCAUGCGGCCCAUUAGUUAGUUGGGUGAGGUAACGGCUCACCAAGACAACGAUGGGUAGGGGGUCUGAGAGGAUGAUCCCCCCACACUGGUACUGAGACACGGACCAGACUCCUACGGGAGGCAGCAGUGAGGAAUAUUGGACAAUGGGGCGAAAGCCUGAUCCAGCCAUACCGCGUGCAGGAAGACAGCCCUACGGGUCGUAAACUGCUUUUGUUUGCCAAGAAACCUCCCCCACGUGUGGGGGAACUGACGGUAGCAUUCGAAAUAAGGGACCGGCUAACUCCGUGCCAGCAGCCGGCGGUUAUUACGGGAGGGGCCAAGCGUUAUCGGAAUUUAUUGGGUUUAAAGGGUUCGUAGGCGGAAAGAUAAGCCGUGGU
Molecule: ribosomal RNA, 602 nt
Filed under: uncultured Flavobacterium sp.
Lineage: Bacteria; Pseudomonadati; Bacteroidota; Flavobacteriia; Flavobacteriales; Flavobacteriaceae
Description: bacterial SSU rRNA
Rfam family: Bacterial small subunit ribosomal RNA
Source: RNAcentral